GCUGUUUUUAGUGAUGAAUGCAGGGAGUAGUGCUUUUUAAGUACAGCUUGCCUGAUCCUCAGCUGGUGAAAAUCAGUGUAGCUCUGUUCCAAGCUCUCCCCUGUCUUAGAGUCCUGCUGUGCCUAAGGGGAAUUCACCCCAGGCUAGGACAAAGAGAAUUCUCAGGUGCUCUUGUCCUCCAGAUUUAAGCCUGCUUUGCUGCAGGGGGAGUGAUGCAAACAGACUUACUGCACUGGAGAAUGGGGCCUGUAUUUUUAUGCAUCUAUACACAAGAGAUCAAGGCUGGGAGUUUGGAAAACCAGAAACAAGACAAUCUCCAAAGUAUCUACUUCAGGCUUUAUAAAAGACUUCUCCCGCAGCAGAUGAAAGCUUAAACUCUACAGAAACUGAAGGGACAACCAGCAUACAAAGGAGGGAUGCUGCUGUUCCAAGAUAUAAUGGCUGGAAUUUAUCAAUAACAUGACCGGGGUAACAAGUUGGUAAGAAGAUGGAUGCAAGUGGAUGUUUGGCACAGCAAGGGAAGGAGGGGAUGUGAGGAAACCAGGGGCUGAGUCCCCUCAUUCUCAGAGUGGAUCUGCAUCAACCAGGGCCUUGGCUAUUGACCUAGAGGCUAAACACUUCGAGCUGCGUGAUCUAUUGAAACGAGUCCACAACCCGGCCUGGUGGUUCUGAGGCCACGGCUCUCCCGUCUACAUAAUUAAACCACUCUCAACGAGUGUGUGUACGUGUGCUGUUCCUUAGAACGUCUCCCAGCCUGAGGCGGGAGCCCUGCCACUCACCGGUAACAGCUCAUUUUGAAGCCUGUUCUCUCCUCCACUGUGAACAUUGGACA
Mauremys mutica (yellowpond turtle) is the source of this 832-nucleotide long non-coding RNA. RefSeq lists it as uncharacterized. The transcript has 5 exons. NCBI's taxonomy places the organism in Eukaryota, Metazoa, Chordata, Testudines, Geoemydidae. The record is from RefSeq and is a predicted model, not a curated record.